ACGACUGUAGCUUAGCGGUAAAGCACAUUUGCAAGCAUACGUAAUGUAUAUCUGUUCGACUCAGGCCAGUCGUA
Molecule: non-coding RNA, 74 nt
Organism: Mucidula mucida
Lineage: Eukaryota; Fungi; Basidiomycota; Agaricomycetes; Agaricales; Physalacriaceae
Source: the annotation of a GenBank genome assembly